UACGUAGGGUGCGAGCGUUGUCCGGAAUUACUGGGCGUAAAGAGCUCGUAGGUGGUUUGUCGCGUUGUCCGUGAAAACUCACAACUCAAUUGUGGGCGUGCGGGCGAUACGGGCGGACUGGAGUACUGCAGGGGAGACUGGAAUUCCUGGUGUAGCGGUGGAAUGCGCAGAUAUCAGGAGGAACACCGGUGGCGAAGGCGGGUCUCUGGGCAGUAACUGACGCUGAGGAGCGAAAGCGUGGGGAGCGAACAGG
This 253-nucleotide ribosomal RNA is filed under the name uncultured bacterium. Its description in RNAcentral is "partial 16S ribosomal RNA". It matches the Rfam family "Bacterial small subunit ribosomal RNA", at positions 524 to 776 of the family's 1533-position model. The record is from RNAcentral.